This is a non-coding RNA of Gossypium arboreum, 151 nucleotides long. NCBI's taxonomy places the organism in Eukaryota, Viridiplantae, Streptophyta, Magnoliopsida, Malvales, Malvaceae. The record is from Rfam.
UGUUAAAAUUUUCAUCUAUUUUUGUUAAUAUCAUUAAAAACUGGCAUGGUUGACAGAAUAAUUAAAUAAUAAUACGUGGUGUGUUACGUUUACCUCAUGCUAACGUACAUGAGUCAGAUUUUAAUAGUAGAAAUGGAUGAAAUUUUUAACA